This 1896-nucleotide ribosomal RNA is filed under the name Campylobacter jejuni. RNAcentral describes it as "partial 23S ribosomal RNA". It matches the Rfam family "Bacterial large subunit ribosomal RNA", at positions 1032 to 2925 of the family's 2925-position model. Lineage: Bacteria; Pseudomonadati; Campylobacterota; Epsilonproteobacteria; Campylobacterales; Campylobacteraceae. The record is from RNAcentral.
CUACCAGCUAAGGUCCCUAAGUCUUACUUAAGUGGAAAACGAUGUGAAGUUACUUAAACAACCAGGAGGUUGGCUUAGAAGCAGCCAUCCUUUAAAGAAAGCGUAAUAGCUCACUGGUCUAGUGAUUUUGCGCGGAAAAUAUAACGGGGCUAAAGUAAGUACCGAAGCUGUAGACUUAGUUUACUAAGUGGUAGGAGAGCGUUCUAUUUGCGUCGAAGGUAUACCGGUAAGGAGUGCUGGAGCGAAUAGAAGUGAGCAUGCAGGCAUGAGUAGCGAUAAUUAAUGUGAGAAUCAUUAACGCCGUAAACCCAAGGUUUCCUACGCGAUGCUCGUCAUCGUAGGGUUAGUCGGGUCCUAAGUCGAGUCCGAAAGGGGUAGACGAUGGCAAAUUGGUUAAUAUUCCAAUACCAACAUUAGUGUGCGAUGGAAGGACGCUUAGGGCUAAGGGGGCUAGCGGAUGGAAGUGCUAGUCUAAGGUCGUAGGAGGUUAUACAGGCAAAUCCGUAUAACAAUACUCCGAGAACUGAAAGGCUUUUUGAAGUCUUCGGAUGGAUAGAAGAACCCCUGAUGCCGUCGAGCCAAGAAAAGUUUCUAAGUUUAGCUAAUGUUGCCCGUACCGUAAACCGACACAGGUGGGUGGGAUGAGUAUUCUAAGGCGCGUGGAAGAACUCUCUUUAAGGAACUCUGCAAAAUAGCACCGUAUCUUCGGUAUAAGGUGUGGUUAGCUUUGUAUUAGGAUUUACUCCGAAAGCAAGGAAACUUACAACAAAGAGUCCCUCCCGACUGUUUACCAAAAACACAGCACUCUGCUAACUCGUAAGAGGAUGUAUAGGGUGUGACGCCUGCCCGGUGCUCGAAGGUUAAUUGAUGGGGUUAGCAUUAGCGAAGCUCUUGAUCGAAGCCCGAGUAAACGGCGGCCGUAACUAUAACGGUCCUAAGGUAGCGAAAUUCCUUGUCGGUUAAAUACCGACCUGCAUGAAUGGCGUAACGAGAUGGGAGCUGUCUCAAAGAGGGAUCCAGUGAAAUUGUAGUGGAGGUGAAAAUUCCUCCUACCCGCGGCAAGACGGAAAGACCCCGUGGACCUUUACUACAGCUUGACACUGCUACUUGGAUAAGAAUGUGCAGGAUAGGUGGGAGGCUUUGAGUAUAUGACGCCAGUUGUAUAUGAGCCAUUGUUGAGAUACCACUCUUUCUUAUUUGGGUAGCUAACCAGCUUGAGUUAUCCUCAAGUGGGACAAUGUCUGGUGGGUAGUUUGACUGGGGCGGUCGCCUCCCAAAUAAUAACGGAGGCUUACAAAGGUUGGCUCAGAACGGUUGGAAAUCGUUCGUAGAGUAUAAAGGUAUAAGCCAGCUUAACUGCAAGACAUACAAGUCAAGCAGAGACGAAAGUCGGUCUUAGUGAUCCGGUGGUUCUGUGUGGAAGGGCCAUCGCUCAAAGGAUAAAAGGUACCCCGGGGAUAACAGGCUGAUCUCCCCCAAGAGCUCACAUCGACGGGGAGGUUUGGCACCUCGAUGUCGGCUCAUCGCAUCCUGGGGCUGGAGCAGGUCCCAAGGGUAUGGCUGUUCGCCAUUUAAAGCGGUACGCGAGCUGGGUUCAGAACGUCGUGAGACAGUUCGGUCCCUAUCUGCCGUGGGCGUAAGAAGAUUGAAGAGAUUUGACCCUAGUACGAGAGGACCGGGUUGAACAAACCACUGGUGUAGCUGUUGUUCUGCCAAGAGCAUCGCAGCGUAGCUAAGUUUGGAAAGGAUAAACGCUGAAAGCAUCUAAGCGUGAAGCCAACUCUAAGAUGAAUCUUCUCUAAGCUCUCUAGAAGACUACUAGUUUGAUAGGCUGGGUGUGUAAUGGAUGAAAGUCCUUUAGCUGACCAGUACUAAUAGAGCGUUUGGCUUAUCUUU